AUGGCGAAAGAGCGCUCUGCGGGGGACCAGAUAGCGGCUUGGUUCGACCCCAAGGCGCGCGACAUGGGAGACGAGGACAUGGCGGCCUUCUUCGCCGCGCUGAUGCAGAUGAAGGACGCCGUCUCCGAUGGCGCCAACCAGGUUCUUCUCGAGGCGAUGCACGCCCACAUGAGCCGCAUGGCGGAGGUGGCCCCGCCGCCGCCGCCGCCCCAGAUCUUCGGUGGUAACACCUUCGAGUUCGGUAGCAGCAGCGGCACCGCCAACGACGGGAUGGAGUUCCAGUUUCUGGGGCCUCCACCACAGGAGCAGGGGUUCGAGGCCCGGAUGGAUAUGCAGCAGAUGGUGAUGGCGCCGCUGCCUCCGUCUCACGUGGUCGCCGCCGGGAUGGAUGUGCAGGACAUGCCUCCGCCGCCGGGGUUGGCCGCCGGGAUGGAUCUGGAGCAGAUGCAGAUGACGAUGCCUAAGCCGCCGGGGUUCGACGCAGGGCUAGACAAGGAGAUAGAUCAAUGGCUUGAUGUGAUGCUGCCGCGUCCGGAGUUCACUGCCGGGAUGGAGACGGUGCAGCAGGGGCUCCAUCAACCCAACGCCGGCUUCCCGUACUGA
Molecule: ribosomal RNA, 603 nt
Filed under: Triticum aestivum (bread wheat)
Lineage: Eukaryota; Viridiplantae; Streptophyta; Magnoliopsida; Poales; Poaceae
Description: partial small subunit ribosomal RNA
Source: RNAcentral